GCCCAGGUACUCCCUCUCCCCCCUCAGAUCCGUUUCCCUUCUCGAUCCACAGAUCCGCCGUCACCGAUGUCGUCGAGCACAAUCCGCAAAGCUCUCGGCGCGGUGAAGGACCAGACCAGCAUCGGCAUCGCCAAGGUCUCCAGCAACAUCGCCCCCGAUCUCGACGUCGCUAUCGUCAAAGCCACCUCCCACGACGACGACCCCGCCGAUGAGAAGUACAUCCGCGAGAUCCUCAACCUCACCGCCUACUCCCGCGGCUACGUCGGCGCUUGCGUCGCGGCCGUUUCCAAGCGCCUCGCCAAGACCCGCGACUGGAUCGUCGCCAUCAAGUCUCUCAUGCUCGUCCACCGCCUCCUCACCGACGGCGAUCCGGCGUUCCAGCAUGAGAUACUCUACGCCACCCGCCGCGGCACUCGCCUGCUUAACAUGUCGGAUUUCCGCGAUGAGGCCCACUCCGGCUCCUGGGACCACUCUGCCUUCG
Molecule: unclassified non-coding RNA, 481 nt
Filed under: Hevea brasiliensis (rubber tree)
Lineage: Eukaryota; Viridiplantae; Streptophyta; Magnoliopsida; Malpighiales; Euphorbiaceae
Source: RNAcentral